CACGCCCUGCACACUGCAGUCCCACUGUAGCUCUGCUGCAGGCAGAGGAGAGGCAGAGGGCUUCUCCUGCUUUGGACUCCUUUUUAAGCAUCUCACGCCAAACUUGGUGACAAAUUCCCAUUCUCCCAUCUGGGCAGUAUUCAUAGAAUGGCUCAGACUGGAGGGGAUCAUAAAGAUGAUGGAACUCCAAGCCCCUGCUCUGGGCAGAUAAUGGAAGGGAAGGGAGGAAAAAACACCUCCGCUUUGAGAAGCACCCACCGCACCUCCCCACUCCUGGUGGAUUACGGAGGAAACAAGGAAGGAACAAAUCCCCUUCAAUUGAAGGUGUUUCCUGCCCAUUUCAAUAGGGCAGAAUGGCAACCUGCUGGAACCUCCUGGGAGCUGCCUUUCAGGAGGCCAAACCAGCAGUCAGAAUGGCUGAUUUUAUUCCCAAACAGUGGGAAAUGUGCUGAGACACACAGCAGAGGUUUUAUCACUGCUUUGGCAAACUGGGGAUUACCACCCAAGUACAGUUAAAGUGAAAUUACACUGAAAUAAGUAGAAAGCAAACACCGCCUAUUCGCUUUAACAAAGGUGCAUUAAAGGCAAUUACCAGAAACCACUCUUCAAGGAGUAAAUGGGCUGCAAUGAAGCUGUCAGCAGCCCAGCAGUGGGGGAUGUGCUCCUCCCUCCCCCCCUACCCCCCCAGGGAGAUGCUGGGUACCACAGGGAACCAAUACUCCCUCCUCCUCUACAAUGAAGGCAGAGAUGUGCCACUGUCACACACUUCCCAGCAAGGACACAUCGCUGGGGUUGGAUGAAACCAGUGGGGCUGUGAGUUCCCAUUCCCCUGUUUUCUCUCCUGGCUCCAGGAGGGCCAGCAAACACGUUGGGUAAACACAGUGCGAGGUCAGCAGGGAUCCCCUUAUCUCUGUACAGGCCUCUGGAAUUCAGUGUAAUCUCCAAGGCCACGUGGAAAAAAAAAAAAGAAAAAGCCAUUUAUAAACUGGUUUCACAGGCACAUUUGGUAAGGAAUGUGAGCAAGGAAAUAGCUGAAAUAGUUCACAUGCACGACGCCAGCGCAGCACCACCGCAUCUUCAUGUUUUUGUAGUCGCUCUAAACCUAUUACCCAAGGAAUUCCUGCAUGCACAGAGGAGGUAACAUAGAGCCAAAGAACAGUUCUGUAAUGAAAACCCUCCUGCCCCACUUCUCUGAGUGCAUGGGAGAGCAGAGGGUGGGAGGAUGGGAGGAACCAGCCCUGUAAUUACAUGUCAGUGAGCUGAAGCUGCUGCCUCCACUGCCCUAUGGGUGCUGUGCAGGGCACAGAAUCACAGCCCCAUAGAAGCAUUAAGGUUGGGAAAGACCUCCCAGAUCCCCAAACCCAGCCCACCAACCACGUCCCCAAGUGCCACAUCUCCACGUCACCUCCAGGGAUGGUGACCCCACCACUCCCUGGGCAACUGUGCCGCUGCCUUUUGGAGAAGGAAUGCUUCUCAGUAUCCAACCUGAGUGUCCCCUGAGCCUCCUCUUCCUCAGACUGACCCAUCCCACUCCCUCAGCCUCUCCCCAUAGCAUUGUGCUCCAGACCCCUCACAGAUCAGUCACCCUUCUCCAGACACACUCCAAGACCUCAGUGUCUUUCCAGUAGUGGGAAGGCACAGCACUGAGUACACAGAGACCAUCAUUGGGAGCUGAAGGCACCAAGGAAAACAGAGAGAGCAGUGCCCUGGUGCAUCCCUGCAGCCCAAGAUCAAGUAGACGACAUCUGGGGUACAAACCAACACUCAGCAAUUUCUUCGGAGGAGUCCUUCUGGCCAGGGAUGGUCCUGCAGGUGCCUUCCAACGCACGGCUCCAGCUGCACCACUCUGCCCAAGCACCAUCAAAUCCACCACUGCCGCUGCUUCCCACCUCCCAACCAAGGGCAAUUAUCUCCUGCUAUUCCUUUGCCUCUGCAUCUUUACGAUCUGCUCAGCAUUGAGAUGCAGUUCAGGUUCACAGGAGUACAGGCUGCUGCUUUGCUUUUCCCUAAUGAUUUAUGAUGUGCUUAACGCAGCCGUUUGCAGGAACGUGCCAUGGAGCAGCAGCAGGGCUGUGCCCAAAGCCCCCAAACUGCUCUCCCAAACCUACAGGGCAGAUGCUCAAUGGCAGAUACCAGCCCCAAGCCUCCCUGGGGGCUGCAGGGGCUGAGCUCUGUGUGCCACCUCCCAAGGCUGCUCACCCUGCUGUGGUCCUUGGGACGUGCCCCAGAGCCAAGGGCUGCCCAUGUGCCAUGUUAGAAUCUCUUCAGCCCUUGCUGAAAAGUUCCUAAUCUGUAUCCAAGUCAGAAAUGUAACUGCACCAAAAAAACCCACACAACACCAAAAAGACCAACAACAACCAAGCCCCAAAACCAACCAAAAAAUCCCCAGCACAACUGCACACAAACCCAAGGAAAACAGAAUACAUAACUACAGCACUUGUCGCUGUGAGGAAACAAAACCUCUUCCCUGAUGAUGAAUUAUACUUUGCUCGCAACAGAUGCAGCUCUUUAUAUUUGUUUUCUGCAUAAAUCUACAUAUUAGCCUGAAAGCAACUGUAUGUGCUUUGUCUUGCUUUGGUUACAUCAGUCACUGCUCAUUUUAGCUGAUUGCCUUGCAGUGCUGGGAUGGGUGCUCUGAACAGAGCUUAGUUCCUACAAACAGGCCUGUUAUGGAGUUUUUCCAGCACCAACAGAGCCUGGUGCUUCUGCAGGGGCCGUGCCAUGGCACCCUGUGCCAUGCCAUCCCAUAGAAGCCCAUGCCAUGCCCAACAUGGCUUGAGCUGCCUCUCCAUCACACAGGUACGGGAGCUGCCAAGGUCUGAUCCUGCAGUGGCACUUACCGCCCAUUUACAAUUGAUUGCUGUAGUUUAAUGAGUUGUAUUACUUGGAAAUGCCUGCUACAUCCCAGCCCUGCUGUGGCUGGUGAAGGAGAAACAUGGAGUGACUGUGCCCAUUGCAGCCCCAAUGUCCUUGGACAGGGAUGCGGGCAGCAGGGGUACACUGCAGCCACCCCAAGAAAGGGAAACUCAAGGGGAUCCAAUGCAAUUAUGUUAUUAAGUGGUGAGUGCAGUAUUUCAGCUUUCCAUAAUCUCAUUUAAUGCUAUCGGUGUCGAGUUAAAUUAUUUGUAAUUGUUUUUACCAAACGCAUCUGAUGAAUUUAUGCUUUUCUCUGUAGGCUCGUAAAUUUAUUUUCCUCUCCUUAAGGAGUGUUAUUUAAUAUCCGUGUGCUGGAAAUCAAAGUGACAGAGCAAGUCAACAAUUACUGCAGCGCUUCGUUAAUGGGAACGGGUCUGUCCUACACCCUCACCCUGGCCCCGUGUGUGAUGGAAGCAGCUCAGGGGUUGGGGUGGCCACACUGGGCUCCUGCUGGGCAGAUCCCUGCCCGUGGCCAAGAGGAUGCAGAAAAAUGUUUUCUUAAUUAAUUGAGAAUUUGAAAGAUCUGCAGCCGACAGCUCCGAUGUGAGCUGAGCAGUGGGUCAAAUGUAUGCUGAACUCAGUGCUGGGGAAGGAUGGCAAAAAAUAGAAAGCAAAUUGCCAUGACCUAUUCCUGUAAUGAAAAGGUCUAUUUCUAAUCCGUGCGCUAUUUAAGCAGAGGUAUUUCCAGCUAAUCUCCAACCAUAACCCACUUAGGCAGAGCUGUGUGCACGAAGCAGAGGCUGCACCCUCAGCACAGUGCAGCAGGACAGACUGACAUUGCUGCGUUGUGAUGGGGAACAGCGAGCUGCUGCUGGGCACAGAGCAAUCCCAGGCCUCUGGGCUGCCCCAGUGCGUGGGGGGAGCUGACCCUGCUGGGAUGGGAUCCUCCAGCCUGGGCUGCUUGGAUGAGAGCUCCAAGUCUCAAUCUCUGCUGCUGCCAUCUGGAUCACACUGUACCCAAUGCAAGACAAGAGGUGCUCCAAGACAACAUCUGAACACACCAGCUGUGCCUACAAAAUGCCUUACAGAUCAGGGUGCCCAGCACAGGAGCUCCACGACAGAAGAAGCAAUAGAUUGAGCUCAGCUCCCAAGAGCUCCUGCUAUUUGUUUUGCACAAGUCCUGCAAGGCACAAACUUCAGCUAUCCUGAAGGUGCGAGGUAGGCGGGCUGGGUAUUUUUGAACAUGCUGCAAGAAAGCCUGAUGUCAACAUUUGCAUUCAUCCUGCAGUGCUACUAAGCCUGAUCCUGUAUCACAGCAAAAAACCUGAAGCUGACUUCCAUGACCCACCCAGACUAGAUACAAUGGGGAAGGCACCAAAGGAGCAGAAGGUGAGGAGGGGGCAGGAGGGGACGGGCUGCUGUGCUCUGCCCUGCUGCUGACCCAGGGGGUUCCCACUGACACUGGAACCAGUGGCACAGAAAGCCAAUAAUCCUCUUACUGGCCUGGCACUGCCCGUGCUGUGCUCCAAUUAGUGGCGGCAGUGGCUCAGCCUUGCUGGGGCUGUUAUUAAUUACAGGAGGAAGAGGGAUGGAGGAGAUUUAGAGCACAUCUGCUGAGGGAAAGGAGGGCAGAGGGGAAAACGCUUUGCGGGUUUGUGCUGUUCCACUCUCACUCUGCUCUCAUUCUGCCCCCAGAACGGAGCCCCUCCCCCAUUCAGUAUAUAAGAUGCUACACAAAAUACACCCCAAGUGCCGCUGCUGCUCCUUUUGUCGCUGUUCCAUUUCAGUAUUCCCAGAUGAUUUUCACCCUGGGGAAAAACCUGAAUCCCCCACUCCAAGCAGGCACAGUGGGAGCAGCCAUCCUCCCUCAGCAAGAGGGCUGCACGCCUCAGGAAACUCAUCCUAAAGCCUCAGCAGACUGCACAGCCCUCCCAGUUAACAGCAAGGAGCCCUAAGUCACGAGAACAUAAGUAAGGCAUGAGGUGUCAGCUGGGUGGCACAGGGAACAGCUUUGGUGAGCACAAAUCUCCGCUUCCCACCACACUGCCAGAUAAAAUUGGGCAUGUCUCUAAAAGGAUGUGGUGCUUAAAAAUAGGCUGCUUUGUCCCAAAGGCUUUUACAGAGAGCUCAAGGCGGUUGCAUGUGUCACACUCCAUGGGAGAAGAUGCAGUUUGGGGUACCACCCACCCAGCACCCCAGAGCUGGAGUGGGAUCCCCUUCUGUCAGGCAGCACUCAUUGCCCUAACCCUUACCAUGAAGCCUCUGUUCUGCCACCCCUCUCCCUGCUUCCACUGAUGUACCAUGCAUGCAUGACACAGCACAGUUUUGCAAGACACGGUGCAUGCCACACUUAUCUCUGCACUGGUUCAGGGCUACGGGUCGCAGCCACACAGCCCAGCACCUGCCAUCACAGCAAUACAGUAUCUGCUCCUCCUCACACACAGGGACUGCAGGCAAAAAGCAGAGCCUACUGCAAUGAGACCUCUCUCUCUGUGAGGCAGUCAGAAGCCCAAAGGCUCUCCCUUGCACUCACAAAUGACCGCCACUUUAGAGCCAUCCUGGAUUGCUUUGCGCAAUCUCCGCUGCCAGACACACGGGUCAAGUCCAAGUCAUACUUAUCAAGAAACAAAAUGAGGUUCAAAAUAUUGUCUGAGGGUGCAGCAGGGUCUCUGUGGAGGCUCCUGUGGCUUUGCCUGAAACACACUCAACAUCACUGCAGGAUGUACCCACAGACCUUGCAGGCUGCUGAAUCACAUCUGCUACAAAAAGCCCCAGCUCCUGAGCCUGGCUCCAGCCCUGCACGCUGCUGAAGGCACAGGGGCUGUGCUGAGCUCUGAGCUGGGUCAGGACCGGGACCUGGGGAGCUGAGCACUGUGCAGGGUCUUCACACCAGGCAGGGAUUUUCUACCUGCACCCUCAGGCAUUCACACCAUUCGCGUGAUCUGCCUCCCAAGCCACAUUUCUGCACAGAAAGGGAACGAGCCGCUCAAAGCAUCGGAUGCGCACCGUACUCACGUUCAUCUUCCAGAGCUGCCCUCCUCUUUCAAGCCAUUUUGUGAGAAAGCCCAGUCGCUCACCGCCGCCUACGGCAUCUCUGCCUGCGUGCCCUGCAAGGACCCGGGCUCCAGAGCAGCCCUUAAUCCAUCCAGCACCAAAGGUCCGGGCUCAGCCCUGCAGCUGAGGGAUGCCCGGUGCCACCAACACGUUCUCUUCUGCUCCAGCCCGCGAUGGACGGAGGUGUCCCCAGGCAGUGCUGAGCUCUCCAAAGCCGUCCCUUUUACGUUCUCCGACCUUGCGAGGAAAAUCCUGUCUCGUUUGAAUUAUUCAUCAUACUUUCUGUUCUGCCAGCUCCGGCAUACGUUCUGAAUCAUUAAUAUGGCACGACUUUUUAUCUCUUUCUUUUUUUUUUUUUUUUUUGUACUUUUAUCUUCUCUCCGACGCGACUCCCUUCUUUAAAAAUAACACAAUCACCGGUGUGUUAAUUAGCAUUCAGCUGAUUUACCAAAUAAAAAGCCGUCUCCGUCCUGAU
This is a non-coding RNA of Coturnix japonica (Japanese quail), 6385 nucleotides long. Lineage: Eukaryota; Metazoa; Chordata; Aves; Galliformes; Phasianidae. The record is from RefSeq and is a predicted model, not a curated record.